RNAcentral lists this non-coding RNA (24 nucleotides) under Mus musculus (house mouse). Lineage: Eukaryota; Metazoa; Chordata; Mammalia; Rodentia; Muridae. The record is from RNAcentral.
GGACCAGAUCUCAGAUCCUCACAC